RNAcentral lists this ribosomal RNA (1248 nucleotides) under Iranian alfalfa phytoplasma KER. RNAcentral's name for it is "bacterial SSU rRNA". It matches the Rfam family "Bacterial small subunit ribosomal RNA", at positions 153 to 1399 of the family's 1533-position model. Lineage: Bacteria; Bacillati; Mycoplasmatota; Mollicutes; Acholeplasmatales; Acholeplasmataceae. The record is from RNAcentral.
GAAACGACUGCUAAGACUGGAUAGGAAGAUAAAAGGCAUCUUUUAUCUUUUAAAAGACCUAGUAAUAGGUAUGCUUUAGGAGGGGCUUGCGCCAUAUUAGUUAGUUGGUAGGGUAAUGGCCUACCAAGACGAUGAUGUGUAGCUGGACUGAGAGGUUGAACAGCCACAUUGGGACUGAGACACGGCCCAAACUCCUACGGGAGGCAGCAGUAGGGAAUUUUCGGCAAUGGAGGAAACUCUGACCGAGCAACGCCGCGUGAAUGACGAAGUACUUCGGUAUGUAAAGUUCUUUUAUCAAGGAAGAAAAGCAAAUGGCGAACCAUUUGUUUGCCGGUACUUGAUGAAUAAGCCCCGGCUAAUUAUGUGCCAGCAGCCGCGGUAAGACAUAAGGGGCAAGUGUUAUCCGGAAUUAUUGGGCGUAAAGGGUGCGUAGGCGGUCUAGUAAGUCAGUGGUGUAAUGGCAACGCUUAACGUUGUCCGGCUAUUGAAACUGCUAAACUUGAGUUAGAUAGAGGCGAGUGGAAUUCCAUGUGUAGCGGUAAAAUGCGUAAAUAUAUGGAGGAACACCAGAGGCGUAGGGCGGCUCGCUGGGUCUUAACUGACGCUGAGGCACGAAAGCGUGGGGAGCAAACAGGAUUAGAUACCCUGGUAGUCCACGCCGUAAACGAUGAGUACUAAGUGUCGGGUUAAACCGGUACUGAAGUUAACACAUUAAGUACUCCGCCUGAGUAGUACGUACGCAAGUAUGAAACUUAAAGGAAUUGACGGGACUCCGCACAAGCGGUGGAUCAUGUUGUUUAAUUCGAAGAUACCCGAAAAACCUUACCAGGUCUUGGCAUGUUUUUGCAAAAUGAUAGUAAUAUCGUGGAGGUUACCAGAAACACAGGUGGUGCAUGGUUGUCGUCAGCUCGUGUCGUGAGAUGUAAGGUUAAGUCCUAAAACGAGCGAAACCCUUAUCGUUAGUUGCCAGCACGUUAUGGUGGGGACUUUAACGAGACUGCCAAUGAUAAAUUGGAGGAAGGUGAGGAUCACGUCAAAUCAGCAUGCCCCUUAUGACCUGGGCUACAAACGUGAUACAAUAGCUGUUACAAAGGGUAGCUGAAACGCAAGUUCUUGGCCAAUCCCCAAAAACAGUCCCAGUCCGGAUUGAAGUCUGCAACUCGACUUCAUGAAGUUGGAAUCGCUAGUAAUCGCGAAUCAGCAUGUCGCGGGGAAUACGUUCACGGGGUUUGUACACACCGCCCGUCA